Molecule: long non-coding RNA, 4429 nt
Filed under: Sus scrofa (pig)
Lineage: Eukaryota; Metazoa; Chordata; Mammalia; Artiodactyla; Suidae
Description: lncRNA (ENSSSCG00000058948.1)
Source: RNAcentral
UUUUUUUUUUUUUUUUUAAUAUCAGUGAAUGCCUCUUAGCACGAGUACGGUUUUACUCCACUACCUGGAUUCUUUUGUUGGUAUAUUGUUAUCUAUCUAAUCAUCUACAGCAGCAAACUUGGGGUCUUAAAAGCAUCAAAGUCUUGUUGAUUUUGCCCCUUCAAUGUUUUCCAGCCAUUUAUUUUCCUUAUGUUCAAACUGUCUCCUCAGUUGCUAACAUCCAGAUUUUUCCAAGUUUCUAUACAUCAAUUUUGCUUUCCAGUUUCUCUCUACUCCAAUUCAUUUUAAAUGUUACUUUCAGUAUCAUUUUCCAAAAAUAGUGGUUUUUUUUUUUUUUUUGUCUUUUUGCCACUUCCUGGGCCGCUCCCGUGGCACAUGGAGGUCCCCAGGCUAGGGGUCCAAUUGGAGCUAUAGCCACCGGCCUACGCCAGAGCCACAGCAGCGCAGGAUCCAAGCCGCAUCUGCAAUGUACACCACAGCUCACAGCAACGCCGGAUCUUUAACCCACUGAGCAAGGCCAGGGAUCGAACCCGCAACCCCAUGGUUCCUAGUCAGAUUCGUCAACCACUGUGCCACGAUGGGAACUCCAAAAUAAAGUUCUUAGCCCAUUAUUUUUUUUUACAGUAGCCACUAGCUGUAUGUGGCUGUAUGUAAUUAAAUGUAAAAUUAAUUGAAAGUAAAUAAAAGAAACUGAGUUCCUAAUCACAGCUCCAUUUCAAGUACUCAAAUGCCAUGUGUUGAUAGUGACUACUGACUGAAUUGGAUAUCACCAAUCUAAAAUAUUUCCAUCAUCACAAAAAAUUCUACUAGACAACUCUGCCUUAGAAUGUUAUACAAGUCCUUCCAUGGCUGUGUUCUAGCUUGCUUUUCCAGCUUCAUUCUCCCAUGGUGUCAGCACACCUCUGUGAUCCUGUCAUGUCCAUGUACUUUUUAUUGAAAGCAUCAUUCAGUCAACAGACUUUGAUUGGGCACUUUUGGUAUGCUAGGCACUAUUCUAUUAGAAGCACUACUGUGAAUUAUAGCAAGAUAAAACAGAACUAAUCUCAAGGAGUUAGUGUUGGUGGGGAGAUUAUAAACAUCCAAAAUACUAAAAAUGUGAUAUAUCUGGUGGCAAGGGAUCCUAGAGAGAAAAUAAAAAGUGGUAAUGUGCAGAGAACAAUGGGUGAGUGGUUACUUGAGAUGGUCAGAAAAAUCCUUUUUGAUGAGGGGAUAUUUUAAUGGAGCCCCAAAUGAAUUGAAGAGAUGAACCAUGUAGCUUCCUUGAGAAAUAUAAGCUUCUCAUUCUACUGCCUUCCAGCUUCUGCCCCUCUUACAUUGGUGAGAAUAUCAUUUAUAAAGGUCACAGCAUCAUUAAGUGGUAGCUUCUUGUCUUGGACUAAAGAUUUUUGGUCUCAAGACAGAAUGUCAUCAGCAUCACAGGCUGUUAGAGCUUGAGGCGACCAUAGACAUCAUCUAAUCUAGUUCCUAGUUUUAAAGAGAAGGUAGCUAAGAAAGAUUUAGGUUAAUUGGUUUAAGUAACAAGGUGGAAUAAUGAUAAAAUGGUGAUCAUAACCUGGGUCUCCUGGCUCCUACUGUUGUGCUGUUUAGGACUGAGUUUUUGAGUAAUGAAAUUGAAAUAGGACCUCUGGAACCUUUUAGGAAUUAAGAAAAAAUAUACAUACAUGUUUACUUCAUUGUGGCCGUCUUCAGAAAUAUGUUUCAAAUGAACCGUUUUUCUCUUUACACUGCAGAAUCUAUCUAAUCUUUCAGAAACAUAUUUGAAGUGAUUUCCACAUGUAAAUAUACUUUAAAUUUUAGUUUCCCAAUACUUUAGAACAUUUUUGACAUUAUAGACAUGAUACAUGCACAUAUGUACAUGUGCAUGUGCAGGGUGGGAGUAUAGGUACAUCUCUUUGUCAUUAAUUCUGUGUGUAACUUUGGUGUUCACAAAUUGGAUUCACAGAACCCCCAAAUUUCCUUGUCUGUAGUUGUAAAUAGCAUAAAAAGAUUUUUUUUUUCCUUUUUAUGGCCACACCUGUAGUGUAUGGAAGUUACCAGGCUAGGGGUCAAAUUGGAGCUGUAGCUGCUGGCCUACACCACAGCCAUAGUAACGCCAGAUCUGAGCUGUGUCUGCAACCUAUACCACAGCUCACAGCAGUGCCGGAUCCUUAACCCACUGAGUGAGGCUAGGGGUCGAACUCGGGUCCUCAUGGAUACUAGUCUGAUUUGUUUCAGCUGUGUCACAUCGUUAACUCCCACAUUUUCUAGAGCAUCUUUAAGGAAUCAGAAUAAGUCUUAAGCUCAUCUUUGGCAGAUAAGUGCUAAGACUUCCUUCCUUUAUGGAUGCAAGUACCUGCACAUUCUUCAAGGUUAAUAGCUUAGUAGUAUAAUUUUAUUAUUGUUUUGUUAUAUCAAUAAAGCUUUCUUUUAUAGAUAUCCUUUAAAUAGACCAGUUAUUUCUUUUUAAUAUGUUCAUAAUUAAUUUUAAAUGAAUAUAAUAAUUAUGUUAUAGAUAUCCUUUCAGUAUAUCAGAUAAUUGUUUUUAAUAAUUAUUUUAAAAAAUAUACAAAAUUGUCAGCCAAAGCCUUUAAAAUGGAUUCUGCAGUUACACAGAUUCUGGUUGGUUCCCUUUUUAAUCGUGCCUGGCCUGAUUAGUUUAGUCUUUAUUCCUUAAUUGGAAAGUAUCCUAAAGCACAUUUAUAGGCUGUUUAUUACAGUUGAAGACACAGCAUAAUAAAUCACUCUUUCAAUGUUUUUUGGGGAAAAGUACACAAGUGAAUACAUACUGCCAAUUUAAAACAGUCUUUCACUAAAGAAAACAUGGCAUUCCUCUCAAGGAAAGUGUUCUGUAACAAUUUCACACACAGGUGAAAUGUAUUUGGAGUAUCCUAAGUUUUGUAUUAUGCAUUCUUGUUGCCAUUCUCAGACUAAUGGUACUCUUCAUAGCAAGCCUGAGUAGCUCCAAGAGAAGAAUGUAGCUAAAUACUAUAUUAGAAUACAUACAAUUGAACCAACAGGAAAGUGUUCAUUUUUCUAAGCAUAGGAUUACUAACAGAAUGCCAGAAUUAAAGGUCAGUUUCGGAAUGAGCUCUCAUUUAGUGAAGUUUAUAAACAAGCACAUAUUAUACAAGGACAGAAAAAUCAAUUGAAAAAAAAUCUAAGUUGUGCUUUUGAAGAAAUAUAUAUCUUACUUAACUAAAAAUACAUGAACUUUUUUGACCCCAAAUAUAUAGUUUUUCACAUAUUUUUUUUCCAGAUGCUCCCAAUGUGAAAUGAAGGCAAAAAUCAAACAAAAGUGUUUUCAGAAGAGAAAUAUGUGGGGAGCUUAUGUGAAAAUACAAAAAGAUGAAGGAGUCCAAAUAGAAAUUCUAGAUAUAUUGAAUAGAAGAGAAAAUAGUGCACAACAGCCUCUCUAGCCUUGUGUUCUUGGGAUCAAAGCCUUUAUUCCUUGUGUUUGGUGGAGUCCUUUGGUUACUGAGCUCCCUUGAACAAAAUCUAUAAUCAAAUUAACUCAAAACAUGUGCAAUUAUGAACCAUCUCAUCUCAGAGUAGGACUUCAUUGUGUUUAUUUUCUUUAAAUAUCAAAGACAGGCUGCAUAAUUCUCAAAACACCACAUAAAGUUUAGAUGUUUCUUUUCUCACAGAAUAUAUUUUUUUCAUUUUCAUGAUACAUUUUAUUACAAAAUUAGACAGGAGCAGUCAAGGAGAGAGAGAGAGGAGAGAAACCCCCAGAGACUGUUUACUUUCUUGGCUAACAAAAAAGAGAAGCCUCACUUUUAAUAAUUUUAUUUCUUUGCUGUAUUCUGUAUAUGAUCUGUCUGAGACCAGACAGGGAAAGAAAAAUACAUUUCAUUGUUUUUCAACUAAAAGAUUUGAAGUUUAUUUACACAUUAUUUUCAGAGUAAUUUUCCUUUUAUUUUUAGAUAAUCAAUUUUCAGAUACUCAAAAUUAACAUCUAGUUAGUAUGUCAUAAAUAUACAGUUCCGAAUGGUGAAGGAAGGAGGCACGCUGUUACCCAUGUGGACCUAGAAUGAUGAACGUGAGGAUAAGGAAAGGAGGGAGUCAGAAAGAUUACAAAACUGAGCUUGUGGGCCAUGAGUCCGGGUGAUGGGAGUUAGAAGGAAAGGCACAUGUUUCACUGCUAUGAGCUUCACACACUGUUCCCUGCUUGUGUGUCUACUGAUGCGCUUGCAGCCCUGAAAUUUAUGGAAAGGGCAAGAGAAAGCAAGGCCUCUCUUGAUAUAAUCCAUCUCAUUGCCAUCAUGGAACAAGUGUUACUAAGUGGUCGUGACUUCAUCAAGAUGCUGUCUGAACAGUGACAAACCACCAGUUUUAUUUCUCCAAGGAGAAACUUGGGUAGCUCAUAUGAAGAGUAUAGACAUCAAAGACCACAAUAAUAGUGUAAGUGUCCUAGAGAAUAUAUAUGGCUAUGCUUAAGCUGUUUGAAUAU